AAGUCGUAACAAGGUCUCCGUAGGUGAACCUGCGGAGGGAUCAUUACAAGAACGCCCGGGCUUCGGCCUGGUUAUUCAUAACCCUUUGUUGUCCGACUCUGUUGCCUCCGGGGCGACCCUGCCUUCGGGCGGGGGCUCCGGGUGGACACUUCAAACUCUUGCGUAACUUUGCAGUCUGAGUAAACUUAAUUAAUAAAUUAAAACUUUUAACAACGGAUCUCUUGGUUCUGGCAUCGAUGAAGAACGCAGCGAAAUGCGAUAAGUAAUGUGAAUUGCAGGAUUCAGUGAAUCAUCGAAUCUUUGAACGCACAUUGCGCCCCCUGGUAUUCCGGGGGGCAUGCCUGUUCGAGUGUCAUUUCACCACUCAAGCCUCGCUUGGUAUUGGGCAACGCGGUCCGCCGCGUGCCUCAAAUCGUCCGGCUGGGUCUUCUGUCCCCUAAGCGUUGUGGAAACUAUUCGCUAAAGGGUGUUCGGGAGGCUACGCCGUAAAACAACCCCAUUUCUAAGGUUGGCCUCGGAUCAGGUAGGGAUACCCGCUGAACUUAA
Molecule: ribosomal RNA, 546 nt
Filed under: uncultured fungus
Lineage: Eukaryota; Fungi
Description: eukaryotic LSU rRNA
Rfam family: 5.8S ribosomal RNA (bases 202-355)
Source: RNAcentral